GACGAACGCUGGCGGCGUGCUUAACACAUGCAAGUCGAACGAUGAAGCCGGAGCUUGCUCCGGUGAAUUAGUGGCGAACGGGUGAGUAACACGUGAGUAACCUGCCCUUGACUCUGGGAUAACUGCGGGAAACUGUAGCUAAUACCGGAUACGACCCUCGGAGGCAUCUCCUGGGGGUGGAAAGAAUUUCGGUCAAGGAUGGACUCGCGGCCUAUCAGCUAGUUGGUGAGGUAAAGGCUCACCAAGGCGACGACGGGUAGCCGGCCUGAGAGGGUGACCGGCCACACUGGGACUGAGACACGGCCCAGAGUCCUACGGGAGGCAGCAGUGGGGAAUAUUGCACAAUGGGCGCAAGCCUGAUGCAGCAACGCCGCGUGAGGGAUGACGGCCUUCGGGUUGUAAACCUCUUUUAGCAGGGAAGAAGCGAAAGUGACGGUACCUGCAGAAAAAGCACCGGCUAACUACGUGCCAGCAGCCGCCGUAA
Molecule: ribosomal RNA, 484 nt
Filed under: uncultured bacterium
Lineage: Bacteria
Description: partial 16S ribosomal RNA
Rfam family: Bacterial small subunit ribosomal RNA
Source: RNAcentral